This 522-nucleotide ribosomal RNA is filed under the name uncultured bacterium. RNAcentral describes it as "bacterial SSU rRNA". It matches the Rfam family "Bacterial small subunit ribosomal RNA", at positions 8 to 518 of the family's 1533-position model. The record is from RNAcentral.
AGAGUUUGAUUAUGGCUCAGGAUGAACGCUAGCUACAGGCUUAACACAUGCAAGUCGAGGGGCAGCAGAUCGAAAGCUUGCUUUGAUGCUGGCGACCGGCGCACGGGUGAGUAACGCGUAUCCAACCUUCCCUAUAGUAGAGAAUAGCCCGGCGAAAGUCGGAUUAAUGCUCUAUGUUGUAUUUAGAAGACAUCUGAAGAAUACCAAAGGUUUUACCGCUAUAGGAUGGGGAUGCGUCUGAUUAGGUAGUAGGCGGGGUAACGGCCCACCUAGCCGACGAUCAGUAGGGGUUCUGAGAGGAAGGUCCCCCACAUUGGAACUGAGACACGGUCCAAACUCCUACGGGAGGCAGCAGUGAGGAAUAUUGGUCAAUGGACGGAAGUCUGAACCAGCCAAGUAAGCGUGCAGGAUGACGGCCCUAUGGGUUGUAAACUGCUUUUAUAUAGGGAUAAAGUCGGGGACGUGUCCCCGUUUGUAGGUACUAUAUGAAUAAGGACCGGCUAAUUCCGUGCCAGCCGCAGC